AGACGCGUUUAGAUAAUUGGUAAUGCCCUUGCCUGAAAGGCAAUGGGGCGAAGCUAACAUCUGUAGUCUAAUGACUGAACGCCUCUAAGUCAGAAGACAUGCUAGGUGCGGAGUCACUUUCCCAAUGAUGUCACCCGACUAAGGAUACAUCCGCCUGUGUGGAUGCUGGAGCAUAUCCGUUGGUUUCCCCGUUAGGAUCACAAGUCCAAUACGGGUGCCAAGCACGACAAUUCCACUCGUCAUUGGGGUAAAUCCUCUGCAGACGACUUUGUUGCAACUGGGUAUUGUAAGUGGUAGAGUGGCCUUGCUGCUACGAUCCACUGAGAUUCAUCCCGUGUUGCUAUAAGAUUUGU
This 353-nucleotide non-coding RNA is filed under the name Volvox carteri f. nagariensis. RNAcentral's name for it is "Eukaryotic large subunit ribosomal RNA". It matches the Rfam family "Eukaryotic large subunit ribosomal RNA", at positions 3044 to 3401 of the family's 3401-position model. Lineage: Eukaryota; Viridiplantae; Chlorophyta; Chlorophyceae; Chlamydomonadales; Volvocaceae. The record is from Rfam by way of RNAcentral.